Transfer RNA from Selaginella moellendorffii, 73 nucleotides. It matches the Rfam family "tRNA". From Rfam's summary of the family: Transfer RNA (tRNA) molecules are approximately 80 nucleotides in length. Their secondary structure includes four short double-helical elements and three loops (D, anti-codon, and T loops). NCBI's taxonomy places the organism in Eukaryota, Viridiplantae, Streptophyta, Lycopodiopsida, Selaginellales, Selaginellaceae. The record is from Rfam.
GGGGAUGUAGUUCAGAUGGUAGAGCGCUCACUUAGCAUGCGAGACGCACCGGGAUCAAUACCUGGCAUCUCCA